RNAcentral lists this ribosomal RNA (301 nucleotides) under uncultured bacterium. RNAcentral describes it as "partial 16S ribosomal RNA". It matches the Rfam family "Bacterial small subunit ribosomal RNA", at positions 509 to 809 of the family's 1533-position model. The record is from RNAcentral.
CAGUAGCCGCGGUAAGACAGAGGAUGCAAGCGUUAUCCGGAAUGAUUGGGCGUAAAGCGUCUGUAGGUGGCUUUUCAAGUCCGCCGUCAAAUCCCAGGGCUCAACCCUGGACAGGCGGUGGAAACUACCAAGCUGGAGUGCGGUAGGGGCAGAGGGAAUUUCCGGUGGAGCGGUGAAAUGCGUAGAUAUCGGAAGGAACACCUGUGGCGAAAGCGGCUCACUGGACCAUUUCUGACGCUGAUGCACGAAAGCUAGGGGAGCAAACAGGAUUAGAUACCCGCGUAGUCCCUGUCUCUUAUAA